UGCCUAGCAACUCCUAUCCCUACCUACUCGUGGUACUGGCCGGAGUACGAGUAACCUUGGGUAAGAUCGGGAAACCAACGCCGGUUGGAACGUAUGCUGAUAGGGAAGG
This 109-nucleotide ribozyme is filed under the name Aedes aegypti (yellow fever mosquito). Its description in RNAcentral is "drz-agam-1 ribozyme". It matches the Rfam family "drz-agam-1 ribozyme". Lineage: Eukaryota; Metazoa; Arthropoda; Insecta; Diptera; Culicidae. The record is from Rfam by way of RNAcentral.